Molecule: ribosomal RNA, 449 nt
Filed under: uncultured soil bacterium
Lineage: Bacteria
Description: bacterial SSU rRNA
Rfam family: Bacterial small subunit ribosomal RNA
Source: RNAcentral
AGAACGAACGCUGGCGGCAUGCCUAAUACAUGCAAGUCGAACGAAGGCUUCGGCCUUAGUGGCGCACGGGUGCGUAACGCGUGGGAAUCUGCCCCUUGGUUCGGAAUAACAGUUGGAAACGACUGCUAAUACCGGAUGAUGACGAAAGUCCAAAGAUUUAUCGCCAAGGGAUGAGCCCGCGUAGGAUUAGCUAGUUGGUGAGGUAAAGGCUCACCAAGGCGACGAUCCUUAGCUGGUCUGAGAGGAUGAUCAGCCACACUGGGACUGAGACACGGCCCAGACUCCUACGGGAGGCAGCAGUAGGGAAUAUUGGACAAUGGGCGAAAGCCUGAUCCAGCAAUGCCGCGUGAGUGAUGAAGGCCUUAAGGGUUGUAGAGCUCUUUUACCCGAGAUGAUAAUGACAGUAUCGGAGAAUAAGCCCCGGCUAACUCCGUGCCCAAGCAAGCCGC